This 97-nucleotide transfer RNA is filed under the name Cardiobacterium hominis. RNAcentral describes it as "tRNA-Asp(gtc)". The record is from RNAcentral. Lineage: Bacteria; Pseudomonadati; Pseudomonadota; Gammaproteobacteria; Cardiobacteriales; Cardiobacteriaceae.
CGGCCGAUGGGCGAUUGGUCGAUGUUGAUGACUUUGUCGAAGUGAUCCAGUCCUUCGAUGCGUUCGUAGGCGGCGGGGUCGUCGCCGGCGCGGUUGA